UACGUAGGGGGCAAGCGUUGUCCGGAUUUAUUGGGCGUAAAGAGCGUGUAGGCGGUCAGGUAGGUCCGUUGUGAAAACUCGAGGCUCAACCUCGAGACGCCGAUGGAAACCAUCUGACUAGAGUCCGGAAGAGGAGAGUGGAAUUCCUGGUGUAGCGGUGAAAUGCGCAGAUAUCAGGAAGAACACCCGUGGCGAAGGCGGCUUACUACGCCUAUAUUGACGCUGAGGCACGAAAGCGUGGGGAUCAAACAGG
Molecule: ribosomal RNA, 253 nt
Filed under: uncultured bacterium
Lineage: Bacteria
Description: partial 16S ribosomal RNA
Rfam family: Bacterial small subunit ribosomal RNA
Source: RNAcentral